UCCGUGCCAGCAGCCGCGGUAAUACGGAGGGUGCGAGCGUUAAUCGGAAUUACUGGGCGUAAAGCGCAUGCAGGUGGUUUGUUAAGUCAGAUGUGAAAGCCCGGGGCGUCAACCUCGGAAUUGCAUUUGUAAACUGGCAGACUAGAGUACUGUAGAGGGGGGUAGGAAUUUCAGGUGUAGCGGUGAAAUAGCGUAGAGAUCUGAAGGAAUACCGGUGGCGAAGGCGGCCCCCUCGGACAGAUACUGACACUCAGACUGCGAAAGCGUGGGGAGCAAACAGGAUUAGAUACCCUGGUAG
Molecule: ribosomal RNA, 298 nt
Filed under: uncultured bacterium
Lineage: Bacteria
Description: partial 16S ribosomal RNA
Rfam family: Bacterial small subunit ribosomal RNA
Source: RNAcentral